RNAcentral lists this transfer RNA (74 nucleotides) under Streptomyces phage Annadreamy. Its description in RNAcentral is "tRNA-Lys". It matches the Rfam family "tRNA". Rfam says of the family: Transfer RNA (tRNA) molecules are approximately 80 nucleotides in length. The record is from RNAcentral. Lineage: Duplodnaviria; Heunggongvirae; Uroviricota; Caudoviricetes; Stanwilliamsviridae. RNAcentral also lists the same sequence under 1 other name.
GCUCCGGUAGCUCAGUUGGUAGAGCAGUUGACUCUUAAUCAUCAGGUCCUCGGUUCAAGUCCGAGUCGGAGUAC